This 71-nucleotide transfer RNA is filed under the name Muribaculaceae bacterium. RNAcentral describes it as "tRNA-Cys". It matches the Rfam family "tRNA". From Rfam's summary of the family: Transfer RNA (tRNA) molecules are approximately 80 nucleotides in length. Their secondary structure includes four short double-helical elements and three loops (D, anti-codon, and T loops). Lineage: Bacteria; Pseudomonadati; Bacteroidota; Bacteroidia; Bacteroidales; Muribaculaceae. The record is from RNAcentral.
GGUUCCAUGGCCGAGAGGUUAGGCAACGGUCUGCAAAACCGUUCACAGCAGUUCGAAUCUGCUUGGGACCU